UCCAAUGUGGUGUAGUGGUUAACAUUGCUGUCUUUCAUUCUCGAUCAAUACACCAUUUCCCACAGCAGCCCGGGGUUCGAUUCCCCGCAUUGGAA
This is a non-coding RNA of Marasmius fiardii PR-910, 95 nucleotides long. The record is from the annotation of a GenBank genome assembly. NCBI's taxonomy places the organism in Eukaryota, Fungi, Basidiomycota, Agaricomycetes, Agaricales, Marasmiaceae.